UAGCUAGUUGGUGAGGUAAAAGCUCACCAAGGCGACGAUCUGUAGCGGGUCUGAGAGGAUGAUCCGCCACACUGGAACUGAGACACGGACCAGACUCCUACGGGAGGCAGCAGUGGGGAAUUUUGGACAAUGGGGGCAACCCUGAUCCAGCCAUGCCGCGUGAGUGAAGAAGGCCUUCGGGUUGUAAAGCUCUUUCAGCCGGGAAGAAAAUGUAUGGGUUAAUACCCUGUGCAGAUGACGGUACCGGAAUAAGAAGCACCGGCUAACUACGUGCCAGCAGCCGCGGUAAUACGUAGGGUGCGAGCGUUAAUUGGAAUUACUGGGCGUAAAGCGUGCGCAGGCGGUUUUGUAAGACAGGCGUGAAAUCCCCGGGCUUAACCUGGGAACUGCGUUUGUGACUGCAAGGCUAGAGUACGGCAGAGGGGGGUGGAAUUCCACGUGUAGCAGUGAAAUGCGUAGAGAUGUGGAGGAACACCAAUGGCGAAGGCAGCCCCCUGGGUCGAUACUGACGCUCAUGCACGAAAGCGUGGGUAGCAAACAGGAUUAGAUACCCUGGUAGUCCACGCCCUAAACGAUGUCAACUAGGUGUUGGGAGGGUAAAACCUUUUAGUACCGUAGCUAACGCGAGAAGUUGACCGCCUGGGGAGUACGGCCGCAAGGUUAAAACUCAAAGGAAUUGACGGGGACCCGCACAAGCGGUGGAUGAUGUGGAUUAAUUCGAUGCAACGCGAAAAACCUUACCUACCCUUGACAUGUCAGGAACUUUCCAGAGAUGGAUUGGUGCCCGAAAGGGAACCUGAACACAGGUGCUGCAUGGCUGUCGUCAGCUCGUGUCGUGAGAUGUUGGGUUAAGUCCCGCAACGAGCGCAACCCUUGUCGUUAAUUGCCAUCAUUUAGUUGGGCACUUUAACGAGACUGCCGGUGACAAACCGGAGGAAGGUGGGGAUGACGUCAAGUCCUCAUGGCCCUUAUGGGUAGGGCUUCACACGUCAUACAAUGGUCGGAACAAAGGGUCGCCAACCCGCGAGGGGGAGCCAAUCCCAUAAAGCCGAUCGUAGUCCGGAUUGCAGGCUGCAACUCGCCUGCAUGAAGUCGGAAUCGCUAGUAAUCGUGGAUCAGCAUGUCACGGUGAAUACGUUCCCGGGUCUUGUACACACCGCCCGUCACACCAUGGGAGCGGGUUCCGCCAGAAGUAGGUAGCCUAACCGCAAGGGGGGCGCUUACCACGGCGGGGUUCGUGACUGGGGUGAAGUCGUAACAAGGUAGCCGUAGGGGAACCUGCGGCUG
Molecule: ribosomal RNA, 1287 nt
Filed under: metagenome
Description: bacterial SSU rRNA
Rfam family: Bacterial small subunit ribosomal RNA
Source: RNAcentral